ACGUUAUGGUAAUAGUCUAUGGUUUUAGUUUAUGGUUGAAUUUGGAUUUGGAACUGGUUCAAUAAAAGAUGGCUACCAAUAAUGUUGUCUUAUAAUUUACUAAUCUAUAAGUUAACAAAUAUGGUGUCACAAGUAUAAAAUAAUAAAUGUGAAAUACCAAAAUGGGUGAGUCAAGUAAAAUUUCACCAGAUGCGGCAAAUUCGCCGGCAUUACAAUGUCCACAACACAAGCAGGGACAUGCUUACUCAUACAUACGACCAUUAGAAUUCACGGAUUCUAUGGAAGAGAAUUGGAAAUUGUGGGUCCAAAAAUUUAAAAUAUUUCUUCUUGCCGAGGACCUUGAAGCUGUUUCCGAUGACCGUAAAACAGCUCUUCUGCUCCAUAACAUGGGUGAUAAGGGUGUAGAAAUAUACAAUUCGUUUAAUUUGGAGCCAAAGCAAACCUUUGUAGAAGUCCUAAAGAAAUUUAAUGCAUAUUUCAUUCCUAAAGUUAACAUCACGAUGCAACGCCACAAAUUUUUUACAAGGGCACAAGGAGCUACAGAGUCCUUCGACGAUUUCCUUACUGACCUUCAGAACAGAAGUAUGACAUGCAACUUCAGUGACAAGAGAGAGGAACUCGUGAGAGACGUUAUCGUCAUAGGUCUAGCUAAUACUGCUAUGAAGGAGAGGCUUCUGCGCACGGAGGAUCUGACGCUGCAGAAGACCAUCACCAUGUGCAGAGCUGCGGAAUUGUCUCAAAAGCAAGUUACGGAACUAACGAAUGAGAUAGGUGCGACCUCCGUGCUCAACGUCAGCACUUCGCCAGUACAUAACGUCAACAAUGUCAAUACUUCAAAAACAAGAAGCGUCAAGACAAGAAAAUGCUAUCGCUGCGGCAAUAACUGGGAUCGCACGCAUCAAUGCCCAGCUAUAGGUUGCAAGUGCCAGAAGUGUGGUAUUCCUAAUCAUUUUGCGAAGGUUUGCAGAAACAAACAGGUUGCAGCCAUAACAGAGAAGCAGGUUGAAGACGACAGCGAGGAGUCCUUCUUCGUUGGCUGUAUCAACAGUGAGUGUGAAUGCGAAUGAAAAUGCAAUCCCCAGAGCCGAUCCACCUCGUCGGGUCCCUAUAGCACUAAGACAGAGCCUUAAGGACGAGUUGGACAAUAUGGUGAGACAGCAAAUAAUCACCAAAAAUGAGGAUCCGAUGGAGUGGGUCAACUCAACUGUUGUAAUAAAAAAAAAGAACAAUAAAAUACGCGUAUGUAUUGACCCUCGGACCCCUCGGUACUUAAAUAAAUUCAUUAUCAGAAAACACAAGCAAUUGCCAACGGUUGAUGACAUACUGGAUAAGUUAUCAGGCUCUAAGUAUUUUUCUAAAUUUGACUGUAGCAGUGGGUUUUGGACAGUACAGCUUGACUCAGAAAGUUCAAAAUUAUGCACGUUUUCUACUCCAUUUGGUAACUACUCCUAUAAACGAUUGCCAUUUGGGCUUUCCGUGUCAACAGAAGCGUUUCAGGAACGCAUGGAAGAGACUUUUAGUGAUAUUGAUAAUGUACAAUUUUAUGUCGAUGAUUUAAUAAUUUAUACCAGCACGGUGGAAGAACAUAAUAAAGUGUUACUAAAUGUAUUGAAAAGAGCUCAAGAAUGUAAUGUCAAAUUCAAUAGGGAGAAGUCCCAAGUUCUGUGUAGAGAAAUUACAUUUCUUGGCAUGAUUGUAAGUGACCAAGGGGUUAAACCUGAUCCAAUUAAAGUAAUGGCCAUUUCCGAAUUAAAAUGCAUUCAUGAUAAGAAAGAACUUGAACGAUUUUUAGGAAUGACAAAUUACUUGUCAAAGUUUAUCAACAAUUACUCGACUAUUACAAGCCCGUUGCGCGAGCUUCUUAAAAAAGACAUAUUAUUUAAAUGGCUUCCUUCUCAUGAAAAUGCUUUUAAUAAACUUAAGGAGGCAUUAACGAACGCUCCCACGCUUAAAUUAUUUGACAGUAAUAAAGAUGUUGUCGUUUCGGUAGAUUGCAGCUCGGAAGGAGUAGGCGCCUGUCUUUUACAAGACAGACAGCCUAUUGCACACGCUUCUAAGGCACUAACUGAAUGUCAGAAAGGUUAUGCCCAGGUUGAACGCGAGAUGUUUGCUAUUGUAUUUGGAUGCAUCAAAUUCCAUAAGUAUAUUUUAGGAAAACAUACCCUAGUUGAAACCGAUCAUUCGGCAUUAGAAAUUUUAUUUAAAAAACCCCUGUCUUUAGUACCUGCAAGACUACAAAGAAUGAUGCUUAAAAUACAAGGGUAUGACAUUACUGUUAAGUAUGUACCUGGAAAACAAAUGUAUAUAUCAGAUUUUCUCAGUCGCUCUUUCCUAGUUGACAAGAAUGAUGAAACGAAGGAAUUUGAUGAAGAGUUCAACAAAGAAAUUGUUUGUCAUGUUGAGGUCAUGAUAGAUUCGUUGCCUAUUUCAAGUGACAAGCGACAACUCAUUGCCAUGAAAACGAAUGAGGAUGCCACAUUGUCCUGUUUAAAAGACUAUAUACAUAAUGGUUGGCCAAAUUCUAAGAAUAACUUAAAUGAAUUAGUAAAACCUUUCUGGAAUUUUCGCAACGAAUUGUCCCUAGUCGACCAGAUAAUUUUAAGAAAUAAUCUUAUUGUGAUACCAGUAGCAUUACAAAAAAUGAUGCUAGAAAUUAUUCAUGAAGGUCACUUAGGAUUAAAUACAUGUCUUCGGAGAGCUAAAAACGUUCUAUUUUGGCCUGGAUUGACAAGUCAAAUUAAAGAACUCUGCAACAACUGUCAAACAUGUGCCUUAUUUAGGAAAAAUAAUACUAAAGAACCAAUUCAAUUUCAUGACAUACCUAGACUACCAUGGCUAAAGUUAGGCACUGAUCUUUUUGAAUUUAAUAAACAAUACUAUCUGGUUGUUGUAGAUUAUUACAGUAAAUUUUUUGAAGUUGCUCGAUUAAAUGAAUUGUCUUCAAGGACUAUCAUCAAUAAUAUUAAGUCUAUGAUAGCUAGACAUGGUUGUCCUUUAGAGAUUGUAAGUGACAAUGGUCCACAGUAUUCUUGUAAAGAGUUUAAAGAAUUUGCGGAUGCAUAUGGUUUUAAGCAUAUUACUUCGUCUCCUGACUACCCAAAGUCGAACGGUUUAGCGGAAUCUUCGGUCAAAAUUGUCAAAUCUAUACUAAAAAAAUGUAAAGAGGAUAACACAGAUCCUUAUAUAGCGUUAUUAAAUUUCAGAAAUAGUCCGAAGGAAAAUAGCCCUUCUCCAGCUAAUCUUUUGUUCAAUCGGAACCUUAAUGACCGUUGUCCUGUGUCUGCAAAUUAUUUAAAGCCUAAAAUAUAUACUAGAAAUUAUUUCUUAGAUAAAGAGUUGCAACAUAAGGUUGAAAACCACUACAAUAAAACUGCUAGACCUCUAAGAGAAUUAGAGAUAGGUCAGGGUAUCAUGUUUAAGAAAAAGAUGUCAGAUGAUCGCUGGCAAAAAGGAAGUGUUGUAAAGAAGGCUGACUUCCCUCGUUCCUAUAUUGUAAAGGAUGAACAAGGUCGCCAAUAUAGGAGAAACAGACAACAUUUGCGUAAUAUAAAUGAAUAUGAGUCAACUAAUUGUACUGAAAAUGAGUCUGUUAAUCCUAACUCUUAUGUUAUAAACUAUGAUAGUAACGAUAGCGACUGUGAAUCCUUUUAUGAAGCAGAAGAAACUGAUGUUCAGGAGCUCAUUGAUACAAGUGAAGCGAGUCAAAGCUCUACUGGAAUCAAUGAUACUCCGGAACCAAAUCUUGAUUUGUAUAAGACGAGGUCUGGCCGAAUAGUCAAGGCUCCGUCGAGACUAAUUGAAUCUUAGUUAUAGUUGUAGUUAUAAUACCUAUAUACUUACUUUACUCUUUGAGUUAUAAUUCUGUGAAGGAGAGGAAUGUUACGUUAUGGUAAUAGUCUAUGGUUUUAGUUUAUGGUUGAAUUUGGAUUUGGAACUGGUUCAAUAAAAGAUGGCUACCAAUAA
Cydia splendana is the source of this 3963-nucleotide long non-coding RNA. RefSeq lists it as uncharacterized. The transcript is spliced from 2 exons. Lineage: Eukaryota; Metazoa; Arthropoda; Insecta; Lepidoptera; Tortricidae. The record is from RefSeq and is a predicted model, not a curated record.